This is a long non-coding RNA of Papaver somniferum (opium poppy), 1060 nucleotides long. RefSeq lists it as uncharacterized. Lineage: Eukaryota; Viridiplantae; Streptophyta; Magnoliopsida; Ranunculales; Papaveraceae. The transcript is spliced from 8 exons. The record is from RefSeq and is a predicted model, not a curated record.
UUCACUUCCAUUUUUUUCUCCGCCAUUUUUUCUCCUUUCUUUUCUGUUCCUCUAUUCCUCUUCUCUGUCAUUUUCAAUUUCAAGAGAUUUGAGCUUAGUUCUAAGAGAGGGAUUCAUAGAAUAUUAAUAAAAAGGUGAUGUUUUUACAGAUAAGAUUAGAUAAAUAUUAUGAGUCUGAGAUUUAGAGAAAUGGAAUGAAAUCAGGGAUAUUUGAUGGUCAUGGUGUCGAUCCAUGUGUUGAUUCAAACUCAACAGAAAGAUGGGUAUGUAAAAAAAGAUUUUUCAAACUGUUAUCAUGAGAACAACCCAGGAUGAGCUUUUUGACAAGUUCCUCGAUGUGAAAAUCCUUGUUAUGGUCACACUAUUUAAGUGUCUGAGUCAAUGAGGUUCUAAUGUUACUUUAUGCUGCUUCAACACAGGUGUGGACAAGAUCGCUGGUAGGGCUUUUAGUUAUAGUCGGAUGCACAGAACUGCACUUAGAAACUGUACUCAAGUUUCGUAUCCCAGGCUCAACUAUGACUUGAACUCCUCAAGCAGUUGAAGUACUAUGGACCAACACCGCUCACUCAGUGAGUCUGCGAAACAUACAACAGAAGUAAUAGUGAAGUAGUAAGGUGCCGUAAUGUUUACUUUUUAAGUUGAAGGACUAAUUGUGCUGAGAACAACCCAGCAAGUAGAGAAAGUAACACGUCGAUCUUUGGUUUGUGAGGCGGCUUUUUCGAAGAAAGCUGAAUUAAAAGCCAAGAUAGCUCGUCAUGCAGAGAAAAGACAGCCUGGUAUAACAAGUAUCUGGAGAGGUCUUGAUGAGGAAGGGAGAAGCAGAGUUGCAGGAUGAUAAAUGAAUGUCAUCAUGGAACUUGGACAAGAACCACUAGCUGCACAGAUGAUCCAUUUUUUGUUCUUUUUUUGUUGUUUUCAUGCCAUCAGGUGUGUUCUUAUCAUGUCCCAAACUUUCCACAGGCAUUUUUGGAUGUUGAUAAUCUUAGUUACCAGGAUUUUUAACUAUCUGGGUGUUGUUCUGUUGCCCAGAUUUAUGUUUUUUAAACAGUUAAACAUCUUA